RNAcentral lists this ribosomal RNA (205 nucleotides) under Karenia brevis. RNAcentral describes it as "partial Bacterial large subunit ribosomal RNA". It matches the Rfam family "Bacterial large subunit ribosomal RNA", at positions 2541 to 2745 of the family's 2925-position model. The record is from RNAcentral. Lineage: Eukaryota; Dinophyceae; Gymnodiniales; Kareniaceae.
CACAUCCUGGGGCCGGAGAAGGUCCCAAGGGUUGGGCUGUUCGCCCAUUAAAGUGGCACGCGAGCUGGGUUCAGAACGUCGCGAGACAGUUCGGUCUCUAUCUGCUGUGGGCGUAAGAAAUUUGAGGGAAUCUGACUUUAGUACGAGAGGACCGAGUUGGACGUACCGCUAGUGUACCUGUUGUGGCGCCAGCUGCAUCGCAGGG